UUCGCAAUGCCCGAAAGGGUGACGAAGCGACGCCGCGUGGGUGAAGAAGGCCUUCGGGUUGUAAAGCCCUGUCAGGAGUUAUGAAAUGUAAGUACGCUAAUAUCGUGCUUAUUUGACAAAGGCUCCAAAGGAAGCCACGGCUAACUCUGUGCCAGCAGCCGCGGUAAUACAGAGGUGGCGAGCGUUGUUCGGAAUUAUUGGGCGUAAAGAGCACGUAGGUGGGUUUGCAAGUCAGAUGUGAAAGCCUUCUGUUCAACGGAAGAAUUGCAUCUGAAACUGCUAAUCUUGAGUAUAGGAGGGGAGAAUGGAACUUCUGGUGGAGCGGUGAAAUGCGUAGAUAUCAGAAGGAAUGCCGGCGGCGAAAGCGAUUCUCUGGCCUAUUACUGACACUCAGUGUGCGAAAGCUAGGGGAGCAAACGGGAUUAGAUACCCCGGUAGUCCUAGCCGUAAACGAUGGGCACUAAGUAGA
RNAcentral lists this ribosomal RNA (469 nucleotides) under uncultured bacterium. RNAcentral describes it as "bacterial SSU rRNA". It matches the Rfam family "Bacterial small subunit ribosomal RNA", at positions 365 to 824 of the family's 1533-position model. The record is from RNAcentral.